CUACGGGCGGCUGCAGUGAGGAAUAUUGCACAAUGGGGGGAACCCUGAUGCAGCAACGCCGCGUGGAGGAUGACGCAUUUCGGUGUGUAAACUCCUUUUAUAUGUCAAGAAAAUGACGGUAGCAUAUGAAUAAGCACCGGCUAACUCCGUGCCAGCAGCCGCGGUAAUACGGAGGGUGCAAGCGUUACUCGGAAUCACUGGGCGUAAAGGACGCGUAGGCGGGUUGGAAAGUCAGGUGUGAAAUCCUACAGCUUAACUGUAGAACUGCACUUGAAACUUCUAAUCUAGAGUAUGGGAGGGGAGAUGGAAUUAGUGGUGUAGGGGUAAUACCCGUAGAUAUCACUAGGAAUACCUAAAGCGAAGGCGAUCUCCUGGAACAUUACUGACGCUAAGGCGUGAAAGCGUGGGGAGCAAACAGGAUUAGAUACCCGAGUAGUC
Molecule: ribosomal RNA, 438 nt
Filed under: uncultured bacterium
Lineage: Bacteria
Description: partial 16S ribosomal RNA
Rfam family: Bacterial small subunit ribosomal RNA
Source: RNAcentral